GUGAGCCACUCUGAGCGGUGGGAUCCGCACCGACAGAGAGCGCGAAUAGACACACACCUGUUGCAAACUCAACGGAGUCUGACUAUUUUUUUUACGCAAAACAUUUUUGAGCUACAUUAUCAAAAACCUUUCGAGAUGUUUUGUUAAUUUUGGGCAGAAUGUUGGUUUCUGCCUUCCCGUGCUCUGUUCGAAGGUGCUUAACUAUUUGCUUAACUAACUAAAUAGCAGUUUUUUUUAGUUAACAUAUAAAUAACGACGAUAUAAUAAUGAUCUGGAUAGAGUAGACAGACUACUUUUCACAACAGUGACAUGUAGCCCACAGCAGGAAAGGAAAACUGCCUUUUUAUAUUUCGGAAAAACCUCUUCAAAAUGAAAACGGGGAAAAAAACAAACAAAUCGUCCCGACGAUGAUUAAGGACACCGAGAUAGAUAUGAAGGCUGUCGUGUUGAACGAGUUAGACCAGGGAGAACUACGGAUGACCGGCGACGGACCGGGGGCUGAGAGGAACCGGUCGAGCGUGAAGCUGGAGGUCCUAAAUGAGGCUGUCAAGUUUACCGGGCUGUCGAAGGAAGAGCUCAUGAAAGUUGCUGGCACACCAGAUCUGCUGCUAAACACAGGCUGGGUAUGGGUGUAGAUGGCGUGCAGGUGUCCGGCCUCGCUGCUGCCAGCUCCUCUCCUGAUUGGUCCAAGGUCCAGGGCGUCCUCCAGGACAACAGUACAGAACAUGAUGUGAAGAAGAGGUGACUGGAGGUCAAACACGGAGAAGUUGCAGCGAGUGUAUAAAGGCUCUUUCAAACCAGACAAACGAAUACGGAAAAAAAUACUCACACACACACACUCACACACUCACACACACUCACACACACUCACACACUCACACACUCACACACACACACACUCUCACACACACACAC
Molecule: long non-coding RNA, 915 nt
Organism: Oncorhynchus kisutch (coho salmon)
Lineage: Eukaryota; Metazoa; Chordata; Actinopteri; Salmoniformes; Salmonidae
Exons: 3
Source: RefSeq, a predicted model, not a curated record